AAACCAGCACCUCAAGUGGUCAGGAGGAUUAUUGGGCCUAAAGCAUCCGUAGCCUGUUCUAUAAGUUUCCGGUUAAAUCCAUUAGCUCAACUAAUGGGCUGCCGAAAAUACUGUAGAACUAGGGAGUGGGAGAGGUAGACGGUAUUCGGUAGGAAGGGGUAAAAUCCUUUGAUCUAUUGAGGACCACCUGUGGCGAAGGCGGUCUACCAGAACACGAUCGACGGUGAGGGAUGAAAGCUGGGGGAGCAAACCGGAUUAGAAACCCGAGUAGUCC
This 274-nucleotide ribosomal RNA is filed under the name uncultured bacterium. RNAcentral's name for it is "partial 16S ribosomal RNA". It matches the Rfam family "Archaeal small subunit ribosomal RNA", at positions 473 to 747 of the family's 1478-position model. The record is from RNAcentral.